Pygocentrus nattereri (red-bellied piranha) is the source of this 2826-nucleotide long non-coding RNA. The record is from Ensembl. NCBI's taxonomy places the organism in Eukaryota, Metazoa, Chordata, Actinopteri, Characiformes, Serrasalmidae.
AUGCAACACCAAAUGCUGAAGAAGUAUUUCCCUCAGUAUCAGAUGGGUAGAGCCCCUAUUUUAACACUAAAAGCUGCUAAUGGACUUGAAAUACCCUAUGUUGGCUAUGCUGUUCUGAACUUCGAAGUCGCUGGAGUUCAGAUCCCAGAAUGGGGUGUUGUGAUCGUUAAAGAUGAGUGUUCUACUUACCCAAUGAUUAUUGGCAUGAAUGUCCUGUCUGCAUGCUGGAAUGAUCUCUUCCAGGAACGAGAGCAGCUGAGGUGGAAAGGAACCUCCCCCAGGAAUGACAAACUGUGGCAGCAAACACUUGCGACCUGCCAACGGAUUGCUGCCCAAGAGCAGCGAGAUGGCUUUGUGGGUCAUGUCUGGUCUGCUAGCCGACGUAGGAUCUGUGUUCCCCCAGAAAGUGAAAUGAUCGUGUGGGGACGUGUUCGGGUGAACAGGAGGGGCCAAGAAUACUGUGGCCUAGUGGAGCCAGUGCUGGAUGGAGGAAAGUUUCAGAAGCUGGGCAAACUGUAUGAAGUGCAACAAUCUGAUGUCCAUGGACAAUAUGAUCUCCAGCUGGACGUUAAGUCAGAAGGCGUGGUGGAAGUGAGUGUAAUCGAGACUGUUCCUGUGGGGAAGGGUACCCCCACAUUUGAGGUGAGCCAGUUUGCUACCCGUUCGGAUCUAACAGAUCAGCAGCAGGUUGAAUUAGGUCACUUACUUCAAAAGUGGACUAGUGUGUUUGCUCAGAACGAGGAAGACUUUGGAUGCACCGAUGCUAUCCAUCAUAGCAUACCUACAGGUGGGGCCCUUCCUAUUAGAGAGAGGUUCCGACCUCUACCCCCUAAGAUGUACCAAGAGAUGCGAACAUUGCUUGCCGAUAUGCUGAACAGUGGGGUAAUUUCUGAGAGUUCUAGCCCUUGGGCUGCCCCAGUCGUGAUGGUCAGGAAAAAGGAUGGAAAUUGGCGAUUUUGUGUAGAUUACAGAAAAUUGAAUUCUGUCACUCUUAAGGAUGCUUUUCCCAUGCCCAGGAUUGAAGAGACCUUGACUACCUUAACCCAAGCACAGUGGUUUAGCACUCUUGACCUGGCUAGUGGCUAUUGGCAGGUGGGUGUACAUCCAGAUGAUCAACCAAAGACUGCAUUUGCUACACCAUUAGGAUUAUUCCAGUUCCAUAGGAAUGCCUUAAAACAGUGUUUGUCUAAGCCCAGUGGUCCUAAACAGAGCCAGCAGGAGGAAAGGGAAACGGGGGCUGACGGCGGGUUUAUUCCCUAUAGUGUUUGGACUGCAACCCCGAAUGUACCUGAUGAGGUUUCGGCCAAUGUUCCUGUUCGCCGUUCCACUCGUGCUAAUUUUGGACAGAGACCGCCUAUCAGCGUGGAAAGAGCGCGGGUGCUCGGGGACUCUUAUUUUAAAAGCGGACUUUUACAGGAGGGGAGAGAGAUCCGGGGAAGGAGAUCCGGGGAAGGAGAUCCGGGGAAGGAGAUCCGGGGAAGGAGAUCCGGGGAAGGAGAUCCGGGGAAGGAGAUCCGGGGAAGGAGAUCCGGGGAAGGAGAUCCGGGGAAGGAGAUCCGGGGAAGGAGAUCCGGGGAAGGAGAUCCGGGGAAGGAGAUCCGGGGAAGGAUUGGUGGCACAGGUGUGCUGCGGGUGUGGAUGGUGCAGCAGAGGCGGAAGCAGCCGGGAGCGUGGCUAGAACGCCAGCAGGAUUCGGCACAGCAUUACCCGGCAGUAGGGGCUUGGUCCGAGUGGCGUGUGAGUGCAGCGGCUGGCAGCAGAUUCAGGAGGAACUGCUGGAGUGUGUGCAUGCGGUGACGUCAGCGGCGGCUCAAAGGGAAUGCUGGAUAGAAGACCGAGGGUCAUCCUAUACACCACAGGCGUGUUGCUGCAAUUUCUGGGUAGUGGUUUCGAUCACUACCCGGAACUGUGUGAGUACGAGCAGCUGUUUUACAGGUGGUGUAUAUUUUAAGGAACCAGGAGUGCUGGACUGCCAUUGCUUUUAUUAAUUAACUCUAAAUACUGACUACACUCGGAAACCCUCUCCGUAGCCACUAGGCUAAUUUAAACCCAAGCUUGAGUACACAAAGGACAUAUUACUGGUCAGUCUUUUCUUUUAUUUUGUCCUAGAGCGGCGUGGUGAGACUCAAGGGAGCCGUGUCUACAUUCCCCUGGUCGUUAUGGACUUCUUUUAUUGAAACAGUGAACCGGACUUUCCUUUCUUUUAGUUCCUGUGUAUUCUUGGUUCCCCUUUGUGUUUUUUUUUUUGGUUUAUUUGGUAUUAUUCUUUUGUUUUGCGUUUUUGUUUAUUUAUUUUCCUGUUUUGCUUUCGUUCCCAUUAAUCUACUGCAACGACCUAGCUUUUAGUGUGUAUAUAUUUGCUCAAAGUAUAAAAUAAAACAUUGCUUGUUUGAGUAUGCUGUCUCCUGUUGGGAUCACUGGCUCAUACUCUGUUCCCUCCCAAACGAAUUUAUUAUUUCUUUACUAGUGUGGGUGAGUCGUGUGGAGUUUGGGUUAGAUUGGGUUCUGGUUGUACAUCUUUCUCUAUCUCAAUGGUUCCUAGGAGUAGUAAAUUUUAAUAGUAGGUUUUAAGUGUUCUAGAUUGUUUUAAAAUUCUAUUCCUAGGGGCUAUGUGAUAUGUUGGAAGUCCCUGGUUAUUUUAGGAAUACAUACAUGGUUUAACACUACCUUAUAUUUAACUAACCCACGCGACAACAGUGCGCACUAGUGAUACCGACCCAGUGCAAGUACAUGGUUCAACACCAUAUUUUCGCUUAUGACAAAGUUAAUAGACAUCAGCGGCACUAAUUAAUGGCAUUCCAUUAUUAAAGAUUGCUUUACCAAGAU